This 62-nucleotide microRNA precursor is filed under the name Podarcis lilfordi (Lilford's wall lizard). The record is from RNAcentral. Lineage: Eukaryota; Metazoa; Chordata; Lepidosauria; Squamata; Lacertidae.
UGUGUGUGUGUGUGUGUGUGUGUGUGUGUACACGCGCGCACACACACACACACACACACACA